Molecule: transfer RNA, 70 nt
Filed under: Kaupichthys hyoproroides (false moray)
Lineage: Eukaryota; Metazoa; Chordata; Actinopteri; Anguilliformes; Chlopsidae
Description: tRNA-Pro
Source: RNAcentral
CAGAGGAUGGUCUAAUUUAUGAUCUCAGCUUUGGGGGUUGGGGAUGGGAGUUUGAGUCUCUCUCCUCUGA